AGUGGAUGGGGAGCAACCUAGUUGUGCGUGUGUAAAGGUAGUGCCAAGAAAAGCGGUGAUCAUGAUGAAAAUCAAUUCCCGGUACCCGAAACCGACACAGGUGGGCAAGUAGAGAAUACUAAGGGGCGCGAGGUAACUCUCUCCAAGGAACUCGGCAAAAUGACCCCGUAACUUAGGGAGAAGGGGUGCCACCGAGAGGUGGUCGCAGUGAAGAGGCCCAGGCGACUGUUUAGCAAAAACAUAGGUCUCUGCAAACUCGAAAGAGGAGGUAUAGGGGCUGACGCCUGCCCAGUGCCGGAAGGUUAAAGAAGUUGGUCAGUCUUAGGAUGAAGCUAGCGACUGAAGCCCCGGUGAACGGCGGCCGUAACUAUAACGGUCCUAAGGUAGCGAAAUUCCUUGUCGGGUAAGUUCCGACCCGCACGAAAGGCGUAACGAUUUGGGCGCUGUCUCGGAGAGAGGCUCGGCGAAAUAGGAUUGUCUGUGAAGAUACGGACUACCUGCAUUUGGACAGAAAGACCCUAUGAAGCUUUACUAUAGCUUGGAAUUGUGUUCGGGCUUCCUGUGCGCAGGAUAGGUGGGAGGCGUAGAAGGUAUUCUUGUGGGGAUACUGGAGCCAACGGUGAGAUACCACUCUCAGGAGGCUAGAAUUCUAACUUAAUUAAGGACAGUUUCAGGUGGGUAGUUUGACUGGGGCGGUCGCCUCCAAAAAGGUAACGGAGGCGUACAAAGGUUCCCUCAGACUGGUUGGAAAUCAGUCGAAGAGUGCAAAGGCAGAAGGGAGCUUGACUGCGAGAAGUACAGUUCGAGCAGGGUGGAAACACGGUCUUAGUGAUCCGACGGUGCUGUGUGGAAGGGCCGUCGCUCAACGGAUAAAAGUUACUCUAGGAUAACAGGCUGAUCUCCCCCAAGAGUUCACAUCGACGGGGAGGUUUGGCACCUCGAUGUCGGCUCAUCGCAACCUGGGGCGGAAGUACGUCCCAAGGGUUGGGCUGUUCGCCCAUUAAAGCGGUACGUGAGCUGGGUUCAGAACGUCGUGAGACAGUUCGGUCCAUAUCCGAUGUAGGCGUGAGAAUAUUGAGAGGAGCCUUCCUUAGUACGAGAGGACCGGGAAGGACGCACCGCUGGUGUACCUGUUAUGAUGCCAAUUGUAAACGCAGGGUAGCCAAGUGCGGAGAGGAUAACCGCUGAAAGCAUCUAAGUGGGAAGCCCACCUCAAGAUGAGUAUUCUGGUGUAAGGUCACGGGAAGACGACCCGUAAAUAGGCACGAGGUGGAAGUGCAGAGAUGUAUGAAGCCGAAGUGUACUAAUAGACCGUCGGC
RNAcentral lists this ribosomal RNA (1319 nucleotides) under metagenome. RNAcentral describes it as "bacterial LSU rRNA". It matches the Rfam family "Bacterial large subunit ribosomal RNA", at positions 1561 to 2925 of the family's 2925-position model. The record is from RNAcentral.